GUGGGGAAUUUUGGACAAUGGACGAAAGUCUGAUCCAGCGACGCCGCGUGAAGGACGAAGGUUUUCGGAUCGUAAACUUCUUUUGCAGGGGGCGAAAGCCCGCAAGGGUUUGACAGUACUCUGCGAAUAAGCCACGGCUAACUACGUGCCAGCAGCCGCGGUAAUACGUAGGUGGCGAGCGUUACUCGGAAUUACUAGGCGUAAAGCGCGUGUAGGCGGGAGGUUAAGUCUGCUGUUAAAUCUCGUGGCUCAACCACGAAAUGCCGGCGGAUACUGGCCUUCUUGAAUUCGGUAGAGGUAACUGGAAUUCCAGGUGUAGCGGUGAAAUGCGUAGAUAUCUGGAAGAACGCCAAAGGCGAAAGCAGGUUACUGGGCCGCAAUUGACGCUGAGACGCGAAAGCUAGGGGAGCAAACAGGAUUAGAAACCCUGGUAGUCC
Molecule: ribosomal RNA, 437 nt
Filed under: uncultured bacterium
Lineage: Bacteria
Description: bacterial SSU rRNA
Rfam family: Bacterial small subunit ribosomal RNA
Source: RNAcentral